CAAGCCUGAUGCAGCCAUGCCGCGUGUAUGGAAGAAGGCCUUCGGGUUGUAAAGUACUUUCAGCAGUGAGGAAGUGGGUAUGUUAAUAGCAUACUUCAUUUGACGUUAGCUGCAGAAGAAGCACCGGCUAACUCCGUGCCAGCAGCCGCGGUAAUACGGAGGGUGCGAGCGUUAAUCGGAAUUACUGGGCGUAAAGCGCAUGCAGGUGGUUUGUUAAGUCAGAUGUGAAAGCCCGGGGCUCAACCUCGGAAUUGCAUUUGAAACUGGCAAACUAGAGUACUGUAGAGGGGGUAGAAUUUCAGGUGUAGCGGUGAAAUGCGUAGAGAUCUGAAGGAAUACCGGUGGCGAAGGCGGCCCCCUGGACAGAUACUGACACUCAGAUGCGAAAGCGUGGGGAGCAAACAGGAUUAGAUACCCUGGUAG
This 423-nucleotide ribosomal RNA is filed under the name uncultured bacterium. RNAcentral describes it as "bacterial SSU rRNA". It matches the Rfam family "Bacterial small subunit ribosomal RNA", at positions 378 to 793 of the family's 1533-position model. The record is from RNAcentral.